Molecule: small nuclear RNA, 192 nt
Organism: Neofelis nebulosa (Clouded leopard)
Lineage: Eukaryota; Metazoa; Chordata; Mammalia; Carnivora; Felidae
Product: U2 spliceosomal RNA
Exons: 1
Source: RefSeq, a predicted model, not a curated record
AUUGCUUCUCGGCCUUUUGGCUAAGAUCAAGUGUAGUAUCUAAGAAACUUGUCUGUACCAUUUUAUUUAUUUAUAUUUUAAUUAAUUUUUAAAAAUGUUUAUUUAUUUUGAGAGAGAGAGAGAGAGAGAGAGAGAGAGAGAAUCACAAGCAGGCUCCAUGCUGUCAGUACAGAGCCUGAUGUGGGACUCGAA